AUACCUUAACAACAAAUCACAUCAGCUGUAAACAGGUGAUGCAGACUGGAACUUUGGAGUUUUCUAAGGUUAACUAAAGAUCUAGAUCUGUACUGUGGAUAAGCUACUAUAAAUAGCAGCAAAAAAAAAAAAAAAAAAAAAAAUUUGACAGCGUUGAAUUUUCUUAAGAUUUUCAAGACUUUUUUGACGGUGUGUCCAGACUGAAGACUUAUUUUCAGUAAGACUGCAUGUGUAUUGCUUCAUAGCCUUAUUCUUCUGAUUCUUUACACUUAUGUGCACUUAUGUGGAGGAAAAAAAUAAAUUCAAAAGCAGAGAAAAGGAAAUUUAAACCAUGAAAAGUGUUCUUUGUAUCAAUAAAGAUACGAAAAUAUUUAGGAAAGAACAAACAAGGUAAUUCAAUAAAAGAAUAUAAGGCUGGAAGGGAUCUCCUAUGUCAUACGGUUCUGUUCUAUCCUACCACAGUAAACCAUAUUGUGUACUCCCUUACAAAAACUACACAUCAAGAAUUAUUUGUUUUUGUUUUUUGGUCAUAUCAGCGUUUUUGACAAGCUGUUACUAACUCUGACCAAACCUUUUAGUCUGACAGUAAGAAACGCUCCUCACUUUUAUGACCUAAACUUAUUUAAAGCCAUUAUAUAUUAACUUGUAAUUUUGUCAGCAUUGUCUCUUAGCUCUUCCCUAAUAGCUUACCUCCCACUAUAGCUUAAUUCUCCUUUCUCUUUCCCAGAAAAAAAAAAAAAAAAGAACCAAGUUCUUUUAAAUUCCUAACACAUAUCCUACUGUAUAUCAGAUGUCUUUUCCUUUAUUUACUUAAGUGACCUAACUCUGUGAAUAAGACAACUAAAAUUGGUUUUCAUUGAUUGUGACAGGCACAACCAUAAAAUAUACUAUAUAUGAUGUCACCAAUGUCCUGUAAAAAUCUUCCUUAUACACUACCUGACACUUUCUCUCUCACAACUGACUAAAAACUUUAGCAAAAACUUUUACUUGCUAUCACCCUAGUACAGGACUUGCAUUUUAUGUUAAUAAAUUCCAACCCAUUUCUGUCUCUCCAAUCUGUAAAAUCACAGGAUUAUUUCUAUAUAUUAAUUCAUUCUCUCUGAAUAGAUGGAAAAUUUCUCUAAUUUUGUGCCAUCAUCACAUGACUAGAACGCUGACAAGGAUAUUAUUAUGAAAAAAUUAUUAACAGUAUUAAAAACAAUUAUUCUCAAAGACCAGUUCUGAGGAGCUCAAAUCAUAGCUUACUUCCACACUUAUGCUUUCAUUUUAAAAAGUCCAUUCCUUGUCCUCCUUAAAUUUCAUCUGUUCAACAUAAGGUAAGGCAACUAUUGCUAUUCAGUCUAGGAGAUUAUACUCUAUGACCACAUCUUUAAAAUAUAUAAAUUGGCAAGAUGCCUAAAUGAACCACAGAACUAAAUAAUUUCUGAUUCAGUAACUUCUGGGGAAUAUAUCUGUUGAUUCUCAGACCUUGUUCAUUAGUAGCAGUACUUUUUCACUGGUGUCCAUAUGUAAAAUUAAAUUCUUCUGUUAGGACACAAUUCCUACUCAUACUUAGCCUUCUAAUAGCUUUAAUAACUAACUUCUAAU
This 1587-nucleotide long non-coding RNA is filed under the name Cairina moschata (Muscovy duck). Its description in RNAcentral is "domestica (muscovy Duck (domestic type)) lncRNA (ENSCMMG00000000433.1)". The record is from RNAcentral. Lineage: Eukaryota; Metazoa; Chordata; Aves; Anseriformes; Anatidae.